Heterocephalus glaber (naked mole-rat) is the source of this 4500-nucleotide long non-coding RNA. The record is from Ensembl. NCBI's taxonomy places the organism in Eukaryota, Metazoa, Chordata, Mammalia, Rodentia, Bathyergidae.
GAAAAAAUAUAUAUGAAAGUGAUACUUUAAACUCCAAAGCACCAAGCAAUAUAAGAUAUUGUUGGUAAUUAAUUUUAUGACAUUUUAAGAUAAAGUGGUAGAAGAUAAUAUAUGAAUAAUAUCUAACUUCAUUAGCUUUGGCAUUACUUUUCUUGAUAAGUUGAGACUAUUUUACAAAUUAAUGGUGCCAGGGAUUUAGCUCAGUGGCACUGAGCCUGCCUCCCAAGCACAAGGUCCUGAGUUCAAUCCCCGGUAUGGAAAAAAAAAAAAUUAAUGGAAGCCAGGAGUGGUGGUGCAGGCUUGUAAUCCCAGCACUUGGGAAGCUGAGGCAGAAGGAUUGCUAUGAGUUCAAGGCCAGCCUGAAUUACAGAGCGACCCCAUCUCCCAAAAACCCCAAAAUGAAUGGAUCAUGACAUAGCAGAUACUUUUAUUUGUUACAAGUGGCUCUAGGCAGUAAUUCUGAUCUUCGUUCCAGGCUGCCACACCCACUCCACCUCUAAUUGCACCUCCUCCUGCUACUUCAUUUGGCUUCCUUCCUCUUGCCAUCUCCUCUCAACCACUGACACCCUUCACAUCUGCUCCACCAGUGACCCACCACAAAGCCCUGCGUGACCAGUGAUACGUAGCUAUUUUACCUAUGGCCAUUGACACUGACGUGAAAUAGCCUACUAGGCAGUGUGUUCGACCCUCCUGGGUUCCAGUUCACUCACUAAGAGCACCACCUCACACUCAGCAUAUGCUCUUCUGUAUUUUAGAGGAAAUAGAAGUCAUUAGGCCUGCCCUCCCUCAGACUUCUACUUUGUAACUUAGCUUCAUCCCCUAUACUUAAUUUCUUCCUGCUUAUUUCAAGAAGUGUCCUCUACUUCUGUAAGUGCAGAUUUGGUUUGGGUUACUUUUAUUAUCAAAAUAAUCAGCUCUUCAUUGCUUUGAGAAUAAAGUCUAGGCCCUGUAGCAUAGCAGGAAUAAUUCUUCACAGUUUGGUCCUUCCAUUUCCAUGCUCCCACACUGAUUCAUUGUUCAGCCUUAACAGAUUUGCAUGCUGAUCUUCAACCAGCUAUAGCUAUUCAUUUUGCCUUUGCCAGAAAGAGUCUCUCCAUUUUGCAAGAUCCCACUCAAAAAAUCUCCUCUUUGUGAAGAGACACCAGAACUUGUAAAUUAGAAUGAUUCCUUUCUCUCAUCCACUCAUAGGGUUCUUAUAAAACUGAGUGAUAGUUUUCUGUAUGAAUGUUCUAAUUGUCACUGUUUCCUAAAGGCAGUUUUCACUGACUCGUCCUAUGUAUGGAAGAUGCAAGAAAAACUUUUCCAUAUGUAUUUGUAUCCCCUGACUUCCAGAGUUGUUGGGAUUUGUUUUUCUUAAAACAUAACUCCCCUCCAUUUCUAGUCUCUCUUCUUCCACAAAGGCUCUAACUUUUCUUUGCAGUUCUACCCCUUCCCCAUGCAAUUCAGGUGAGGUGGACUCCCAACCCUAAGUUCUCUGGCCUGGCAAAGGAGUCACCAUGUACCAUCCCUCUGGCCGCAGGCAUUGAAAGCUAAACCAAACUUGAUGACAAGACUGGUUUAACCUUUCAGGGAUGUAGCAUCUGAGCACCUGAAAUCUGGGAGUGGAAAGAGUGAAAAGCUGCUCUUUGUCCUUGUUGACUCUCAAAUCAAGGUACCAUGGGGCUUCCCCUAGGCCAUUUUGUUACAUGACCCCCAAGGAUUUUCUUUGCAACAGAAAGGAUCCUAAGUGAUGGUGGUUAUUCUCUAUGUAGGUGACCCACACUGAAUGGGUAUCACUAGAUACAGCACCCCGUCUACACACUACUCAAACUAGAGUAUUUUUUUAACUUCUAAACCUCCUAAGCUACCUGAAAUACCUAAAACAGGGAUAUCUUUUCCCUUUGGCCCUUUGCCCAUAUGGCUCCCUCUGCUUAGGAUGCUUUCUCUUCUCUCUUUGACUCUAAUCUGUACCUCAAAACCCAACUCAGGUGUUCAUUAUCAGGGAAGACUGCUCCUCUUGUGAAUCCUCCUCAAACCCUAAUAUACGUAUAUUGUAUCAUAGUCAUAUGUUAGUUUUUCUUUUCCACUAGAAUGUGACUUUUUCAGGGCAAAAGUAGUUUCUUUUUCAGCUUUAUAUCUUCAGGACCUAGCAUACUGUUAUCCCUGUACUAGACUUGAUAAUUAUUUAUUGAAUGAACUAGUGAAGUCAUGUAAUCUAAUUCACUCAUUUUACUGAUGAAGAAACUUGCCUGUUCAGAGUAAUGGCUUACCUGUCCAGUGUCACACAACUAUUUUGCCCACCACGUUAAUUUGAGAACUUGAAGAUAGAUGUCCAAAAGAUGAGAGAAAAAAUGCAAAUGCUUUACUGAAUUUUUUAUUUAAGCCAUCUCUAUUAUGGUAUAAUUUAUGUACAAUAAAAUUAUAUAAAUUUCUUUGUAAAAUAAAAUCCUUUCUAAGUAUACAGUUAUAUAGGGCUUGACAAAAGUACAUACACAUGUCACCACCACAAUCAAGGCCAGACCAUUUCUAUCACCCAGCAGUUCCCUUUACACCCCUUCCCCUUCAAUUCCCCAGAUGCACACUCACUCCAGACACCCACUGAUCUGCUUCUAGCCCUAAAGAUUAGAUUUCUCACUUCUAGAGUUUCUUCUUAUGCACUCUUACUCAGCGUAAUGUUUUGAGAUUCGCCCAUGUUGUUGUGUGAUCAAUAGUUCAUUCCUUUUUAUUGCUGAAUAUAAGCCUUAAUAUGGACAUAUCCCUUUAUUUCUCUGGGGAAAAUACCUAGGAGUACAAUUUCUAGGUCCUGUGUAGCCAUGUGUUUCACUUUUUAAGAAGUCUCUACAUUCUUUCCCAAAGUGGUUCGACCAUUUUACAGUCCCACUGGCAAUAUAUGCAUCCCAUUUACUCCAAAUUCUUACCAACACUUGGUGUUAUCAUGUUAAUAAUUCUAAUAGGAGGUUAUAAUUUGUAUUUUCCUAAUUACUAAUAAUGUUGAACAUCUUUUAUGCUUAUUUGCCUUUUUACAUACAUUAUUUUGUAAAGUGUCCAUUCAAAUCUUCUGCCCAUUUUAAUCAAUUAUCUUAUUAAGUGGUAAGAAUUCUUUAUUCUGGAUAUGCUACAUGGUUCCCAAAAUUAUCUUCCAGCCUAUAGGUUGCCUCUUAAUUUUAUUAACUGUCUUGUAAAGAACAGAAGUGCUAAUUUUGUUGAAUUCCAAUUUAUUCAGUUUUUCUUUUAUAGUUUAUAUUUUUAUGUGCUACCUAUGAAAUCUUUGCAUAAUUCAAGGUUACAGAGAUAUUUUUCCUGCAUAUUUUAAAAACUUUAUGGAUUAAACUUAUACAAUUAGGUCUAUCAUGACUUUUUUAAAGUUAAUUUUUGUGUAUGGCGCAAGUUAAGAGCUGAGCAUCCUGUUUUUGCAUUUGGAUAUACAUCAUUUCCUGAAAUAAGUAUCCUCUCACUUUUAGAUCAGCACCUUUGUAUUUUGCUGUAGAGGUUUAUGUUUGUCCUUACUACAUUAUAACACUGACUUGAUUUUUGUAGGUUUUAAAAAAAAUUUUAUUUUAUUGGUACAUUUUAGAUGUACAAUAUAAUGGCAUUCAUCAUUGGAAAUUUGUACCUUUACAUAGUCUCUCUUGGUUCUUAUUUUUUUCCCAUUCCCCUGCCCUCCCUUCAACCCCUCCACCUCUACCUAUUUACAAAGACUUUGUUACCAUUUUUUCAUUUUCUCAUAUUAAUUCCAUUCCCUUCUUUCCUUUCCCCUACCCCUCCCACUUCCCCUUCCCCUUUGCCCCUUUUCUUCCUAUUUCACAUUAUCUAUUAUAACUUUAAGUCCUUAUUUACAUUUUCAGUUUCUCACACUACAGAAACUAUUCAGUAUUUACACAUGCAUGUCCUAUUUAUUUCAUUUAAGAGUGUUGCCUCAAUGUGCAUUAAGUUAGCUAUAAAUGUCUCUAAUUUCUCAUUCUUUAUGGCUGAGUAGUACUCCAUUUUAUUUUUUAAAAACCAUAUUCAUAGUAAGUUAUUUUGGCUAUUCUAGCUUCUUUGCAUUUCUAAGUAGCUUUUAGAAUCAGCUUGUCAGUUUGCACAAAAAGAUAAAAGGCUGCUGGGAUUUUUUAUUGAGAGAGGGAGGAUUAGACCUAUAAACCAAUUUGAAAACAAUAGCUAUCAUAGCAAUAGUGAAUCUUCCAUGCCAUGAGCAUAGCAUAUCUUUCCAUUUGUUUAGGUCUUCUUUAAUUUCGGCCACCAGUAUUUUAUAGUUUCCAGUGUACAGCUCUUGCACAUAUUUUGUUAAAAUUAUCCAUAAUGAUUCCACAUUUUGAUGCUAUUGUAAAUGGUAUUUUAAUUUCAAUUUCCAAUGAUUUGUUGUUAAAGUAUAGAAAUACAAAUGAAGUUUUUAUAUUGACCUUGUACCCUGACACCUUGUUAAAUUUACUCCUGCUAUCCUUUUUUGUAGCUCCUCUAGGAUUUUCUACAUAUACAAUAUAUCAUCUAUAAAUAAAGAUAAUUUGACUUUUUUCUUUUAAA